GAAAGAGACAAAGGAGAAUGGAAGACACCAAGUGCAAAAAGAACUGUACACUCUACUUGCGUUGUUAAAAAGAUGCAGGGGAUGCCUGAAUUGUUCACUAUCAGUAAUUCCUUGGCUUGAUAUUCCCAACACUAUUUUAUGAGAAAGCUGUUAACCAAUGUGAUGCUCGGAAGUAUACUACAUGUAUUGUCUCACUUCUAAAGAAUUAGUCAUCGGACGAUAUGCAACAGUGAGGUGCGUUUCCCUGCGAUGAUUGCCACCAUCUGAAAUUUCCUUUCCUGCUGAUUUGGAACAUGCCGCCCCAUCUCCGUGCUUCAAGUUGUU
RNAcentral lists this long non-coding RNA (324 nucleotides) under Homo sapiens (human). RNAcentral describes it as "HSALNT0036753". The record is from RNAcentral. Lineage: Eukaryota; Metazoa; Chordata; Mammalia; Primates; Hominidae.